ACUCCGGCCGGUUCUGGGUGGGUGUGGGGCGGGAGGCCCUGUGGAGGCCGGCCGAGGGGCGUGUCGGGGCGUGUCGGCGACGUGGCAGCGGGGCGGCGCGGAGGCCAUCUUGGCGCGGGACACACGCUCCUCUGAUCUUCCUCGUCCACCACCGUAAGCCGGAUCCCCGCGCGGGACCCCCGAUCCGGGCCCCGACCCCGAGCCGCGUGGGCAGCUUUCUGCGCAGGCGCUCGCUCCGACCCAGUAUUUAGUACCUUGAAAUGUUGACUUCUGAGAACCACAGUCUCCAUAUUUCUUCCUGCCAUUUUGUUGGUCCUAUUUCUGCAUCUUAGUCGGCUACAUGUCUGGAAGAAGGUUUGGUGUGCACCGCCGGAACUGAGGGAAAAUGAUGGAAGAAAGUGGAAUCGAGACAACGCCACCCGGAACCCCUCCCCCGCACCCUGCAGGCUUGGCUGCCCUGCCCACCACUGAGGCUCGCUUAGCUGCAACCAGUUCCUUCUCAUCUCCCACCGUGUCCGGGAUUGAGUCUCUGCCGCCGCAUGCGUAUUCCACGCCCCAGCCCUCCCUGCCUCCUGUGCAGCCAUCAGCGCCACCUCCCUUUGUGCCAUUGUCUCCAGCUCCUUCUGUUCCCCUGAGUGGCACUUCUGUGCCGCCCUCUUUGUCUCCGUCGCCUGCCACCUCCUUCAGUGGCCCUCCGAUGUCCCACUUCCCACCUGCGACCUCCGCCUCGGGUGCUCUUCUCUCUGCACCGCCUUCAGGGCCUCCGAUAUCAGGGUUUUCUGUGAGUACAACUUACGACAUCACGAGGGGACACGCCGGGAGGGCGCCCCAGACACCUCUGAUGCCAUCAUUUUCUGCACCUCCGGUCACAGGUAUCUUGCCAUCCCCCAUUACUCAACAAGCCAGUAUGACACCUCUGGCACAGGGACCUGGAACCACAUCAGCCAUUACUUUCCCAGAGGAACAGGAAGAUCCUAGGAUUAAUAGAGGCCAGGAAGAUGCACCUGCUGGCGGGAUCUGGGGUUUUAUUAAGGGCGUCGCUGGGAAUCCUAUGGUGAAAUCUGUCCUGGAUAAGACCAAGCAUUCUGUAGAAAGCAUGAUCACCACACUGGAUCCUGGCAUGGCUCCAUAUAUCAAAUCUGGUGGUGAACUGGAUAUUGUUGUGACCUCAAAUAAAGAAGUGAAAGUGGCUGCUGUCCGAGACGCCUUCCAGGAGGUCUUUGGCUUAGCUGUGGUUGUUGGGGAAGCUGGACAGUCCAAUAUCGCCCCACAGCCAGUAGGGUAUGCAGCUGGAUUAAAGGGUGCCCAGGAGCGCAUUGACAGCCUGCGGCGGUCUGGAGUGAUCCACGAAAAGCAGACGGCGGUGUCGGUAGAAAACUUCAUUGCUGAGCUGCUGCCUGACAAGUGGUUUGACAUCGGCUGCUUGGUGGUGGAAGAUCCUAUGCAUGGCAUCCGCCUGGAAGCAUUUACCCAAGCCACCCCGGUGCCUCUGGAGUUUGUGCAGCAGUGCUGGAAACAAUGGAUCCUGCUGGUAGAUGGACUCAGCCGAAGACCCAGAAGAGGCUGUGAGCACAGCAUAGAGAUCGCAAAGCAUUUAAUAAUGACUUGUCCAUCAGCGGAAAAUGGAAGCUGCAAGCUCAAAAACGCAAAUAUGGAGUUUUCUAUCUAUGUGAAGCAGGAGCUCGGAGCAUACACAUGUGGUCUCUGGAUUCAGAUGGAAGACCUCUAAGUCCUCCAUUCAUUACUUUCUACUGUGUGAUUCCAGGUGAGUGGUUUUUGUUUUGCUCUUGUAUUUUUUUGAGACAGGGUCUGUCUGUAUGGCCCCAGUUGGCAUAGAACUCACUAUUUAAACCCAGUGUGCCUCAAAUUUCAAGAGAUCCACAUCCCUCUGCCUUGGGAAUGCUAGAUGAAAGGUGUGUGCCACCAGCCUCAGGAAAAACUUUGUAGCCAAACUUUGUCUCAGCUUUGAUAGUUAUAAAAUUAUGAAGGUAGUAUCUAAUAUAUUUAUGAGAAUUAUUUAAAUUGUAUAUAAAAUGUCAUAAGGGUUUUGGUGUCUAAAUAGAAAUUCAGUGAAAGUCAUGAUAAUACAUACGGGCAUGCUUCAAAGCAGCCAUUUGUUCAUGACUCCAAUUCUAAUUAUUCUAGCAGAGGCAGUAGACUUCAGAAUUAUGUUUUCUCAACGAACAACAAUGGAUUCUGGGGAAGGAUGUGGAGUGUAAUUACUGUAACACAAUCCACAAUAGUCAAGUCAUGAGACCAGACUGGGUGUUCAUGAGCAGACAGACAGUCACAGAAAGCUUAGCGUAUGCAUGUAAUCGGACAUUCUCUCUCAAAGGAUGAAAUGAUGCCAUUUGCUGGAAGAUCCACAUAGCUGGGGGUCACCAUAGUACACAGAAUAAGUCAGACACAUAAAGACAUAUACCGCAUGCUUUCUCUCACUAUAGGGCCUAAAGUUCUUUAUAGACACAUAAGUGUUUAUGUAUGCACAUUUGUAUGUUUCUUAUAUGGAUCUAUAAUAUGUACAUUCACGUGUGUAUACUUGGCAGAGAAAUAGGAGGAACAUAAAGGAAUGGAGGAGACUGGUGCCAGGGGCAAAAGGGUAGAAAACUGAAUGGAGGGGUGUGAGAGGGUGGAUGUGUUCAAGUUUGAUACUAUAGUUGGAAGAAGUUGUCUAUAAGAACCAUAACACUAUAUAAUAAUCAUAUAUCAACAAAAUGCUAAAAUUAUAUUUUUCUCCAGAAAUUUUGUUGGAUUUAUGCAGAAUUCAACACAGCAUAACUAACUUUAUCACGGAGAGUUAUUAUUAGUCCCAUCAGAAUAAAAACUAAACAUAAAACAACAUAUAAUUUGACAUAUGGAUCUAAUGUUCUAAUACGUCCUCUAUAGGAAUUUAACUACAUCCUUGUAAUAGCCCUACGGCAUCAGUAAGCACCAUUAUACUCCUCAGCAUCAUUUCAUAUAGGCAAGAAUACAGACUUAGAGACACUAGAAAGACAAAUGCAGUCUCCUACAUUGCUUUAUGUCUUAUAUUGAUAGUAAUUAUGGACUCCUGGCCUUCCAUUAAAUCUCAUCCUUUUUACAUGUUUAUGACCUAGUCACUUUAUUAUAAAGCAAAUGUUCUUGAUAUGAAUUAUUUAUAUUAACUUUUUGCUGAUUGUGUAUUCCAUGGAGGGUCAUUCUGGGACAGGGCCAAUUUGGUUGAGAACCCGGGCUGCUGUGGAUGAGUGAUUUCUGAAUGUAGUAAGAGCAAGGUCAGUGAACUAGCCAUCACAAAUGACAGCCGAUGACAAUAGGCUUACUUUAGAAAUUGCAUUAUCAUUGAAUAUAAACAAAAUCCAAAUGCUAAAUAUCCAGGUCUUUAGUCAACUGCUGUCUGGCGAAACCCUAAUGGCGAAAAUUCACUCAGCAAAGCACGAUGCGGAACUUUCCACUGGAAGCCUCCAAGAAAGUCUCAUGGUUUAUAAUUACCCCUGAAAGGACUCCUUAUUUAGGUCUCUGUGUAUGCUUCAAAACCCAUUGAAUUUAUGUUCAUUUUAAAAAACAGGGAGAAUAACCAGCCCUUCACUGAGUUUGAAUUGAACCAAUUACUCAAAUCACAGUGGAUCUGAAUUAGGGAUUUAUUUUUGUGUGUGUAUUUUUGAAAACAUGCUUCUAGAGUUUUCUAUCAUUUAUCAGCAAGAAUAUGCUCAAAUAUUUCAGGAUAGCCGCAUAAUUUCUCCAGGAUAGGCUUACAGGCAUUAUGGAGCUAUUUUGAUCUAUGGAUGGUUUAAAGUAUUUCUGGGUAGCUGAUGAUUUUCAAUUUGAAAGAUAGGAUUGUGUGAGAACAUUUCUAUUGUGCUUCAUCCACAGUCCUUGCCUCUUCCUCUGAGUGGGAAACACACACACUAGAGCUAAGCAGAAGUUCCAGCCAGGAAAACACCCCUGCCCUACUGCUCAGUAGACUGCAGGACCUUUUCACCUCCACUGACCAUAGCUGACUCAGCCUUUGAGGGUUAAGUUGGGGAAAUAAUGACAUCGUCAGUCCUAUCUCCUUUCCUCUGGGAGAGAAACAGAUGAAUUCUGUUGUAAAAUAUUAUCUGACUCAGGAAAUAAUCCUACUAAUUUUCCUCCAGAAGAACUCCUGGACCAUCCCAGGCUGACAAGAUAGAAGUCAUAGAAGGUGCGGGCUCCCUCUCAUCAUCCUGACAAACACGAUGAACACUUUCGAUAACUCAUUCAAGUACGGGUAGAGAAGGGUGAUGUUUUCUUGUGGGCAUAAUCUAGGCAUGAAUUAUAGAAUUUUACAUUUAGGUGGGACUUCCUUCCUUGUAUUAACAGAUAUGGAAAGAGGGUCUCCAAAGCUGACUUUCUUCAGAUGGAGUUGUCUUACCACCAGUGAGAAAAUUCAGAUCUCUAGGAUCCUCCCAGCAUUUUGCAUCCCAUAGAUUAUAUUCCCCAAAUCCUAGGAUACUUGUACUACUCACAAUCCUCUUAGUAAGUUGCAUUACUCCGGAUGAGUUAAGUACAAAACUGUAGAUUUCUUCCAGACUGUGGUUAGCAUGCCUUCUAGUUAUGACUAGAGACUCCAAAAUAUGUCUGAAGUAAAGGAACUUAUAUUUUUCAAGCAAAAAAAAAAAUCACUGAUUGCCUUGUUUAUCAAUACCUCCUACAGUCUAGCAUCAGAGAGAAGGAGUGUGAAGCCCUCCAGGGUCCACACUAAUUAGAGUACAGUUCAGAGAACUGAUUUUAUAAUGGAAAUAUGAACAUGGAAAACAUUGAUGGAAUUCUUGCCUAUCAAGUUGCAUUGAUUUUUGUGGACUUAAAAAAUUGGAGAACUUAUUCCCCAAGCAACCACUGACCCAGAAUUAGGCUCUGUAUAGAAUGAUCUAGAUACUACUCAUGUAUCACUUUUACUCAAGAGAAACUUCAGCUCUCAUAUUGUGAGGGUUGGGUAGUGACGUUGCAAUGUGUCCAGGAGAAUUGGCUAAGGUCAUGACAGUUAGAGAAAGAGUUUGGAGUCACUGUCCUAUCAAACUAACAGGGCAGAAAAACAAACAAACAAAAAUGGCAAGAGAAAAUAAGCAAAAACAAAUGGAUAAUUCAAUCAUGACACAAGUUAGUCUCUACUUUUUAGCAGCAGGUCAGAAUUUAGGGAAGGGGCAAUGAUUUUUUUUUCUCUAAGAUCUCACAUUUUUUUCUCUUUUGUUCUCUAAGAUCUCACAUUUGAGGAGUCCUUGGUUGCCUAGUUGUGGAGACCCAUCUCCCUUGCAGCCACCCACUCAUUUUUCAGCUCUCAGGUGCUCUACACGUUCACCACCUACAGGAGCAAGGUGGUCCAGCACACCAGAGGGAAAGUUCUCCACCUCCACAUCUGAUGUGGUCCCUUGUAGUAUUUACAGUCACAUUCUCUUCCAGAAGUCCUUAUCAAUUAUUUUUCUUGGCAUCCUCACAUGUUUAUUAUCUGCAGGGUUUAAUGCAGAGCUGUGAGAAGUGGGCAGAAAUAUUUUAAAUGUGAUCAUUGUGUUCCUGAGCAAAAUAACUUGACCUCUCCAAAACUCGACUAUGUGAUUAUCAAGUUGGAAUAAUAAUAGUAUGUGUUCUAGUGUGCCAUGUCUCCCUCGAGAUAUUGGGUGCGAUAACUGACUCAUUAAGUUGGCUGGAGCCAACCUUUGGGAGUGUAUCUGGGAAUGGACAACUGCACUUUCUUCCUGUAAGAAAAGUCCUAGAGUUCUGAGAAGAUUUCAGAACAUCAAGAGAUUGAUCAGCCGUCGCUUUCUGCUGAGCUACAAAGCAUCCAGUGGAUCCAUCUGGCUGUCGGAGUUAGGAUGGUGAUGAUGACCCAGGAUCAGGAUCUCCAAAUGGCGUUUGGAACACAAAGCAAGAAGGAGACUGCGGCUGUUUUCUGCCACUAAGAUUUUCUUUUUAAAAAUCACAGACUUGUGCAGCUUAUCUUGUUUGAUACAGAUAAAGACUGCUGGUUAGAAGCUA
RNA transcript from Mastomys coucha (southern multimammate mouse), 5967 nucleotides. It is a transcript of the gene named proline rich coiled-coil 1, with no coding region annotated. NCBI's taxonomy places the organism in Eukaryota, Metazoa, Chordata, Mammalia, Rodentia, Muridae. The transcript is spliced from 12 exons. The record is from RefSeq and is a predicted model, not a curated record.